Molecule: ribosomal RNA, 402 nt
Filed under: uncultured bacterium
Lineage: Bacteria
Description: bacterial SSU rRNA
Rfam family: Bacterial small subunit ribosomal RNA
Source: RNAcentral
GACGAACGCUGGCGGCGCGCCUAAUACAUGCAAGUCGAGCGAGAAGACGUAGCAAUACGUUUGUAAAGCGGCGAACGGGUGAGGAAUACAUGGGUAACCUACCCUCGAGUGGGGAAUAACUAGCCGAAAGGUUAGCUAAUACCGCGUACGCUCCUUGGACUUCGGUUCAGGGAGGAAAGCGAUACCGUGGGUAUCGCGCUCUUGGAUGGGCUCAUGUCCUAUCAGCUUGUUGGUGAGGAACGGCUCACCAAGGCUUCGACGGGUAGCUGGUCUGAGAGGACGAUCAGCCACACUGGCACUGCGACACGGGCCAGACUCCUACGGGAGGCAGCAGUGGGGAAUCUUGCGCAAUGGGCGAAAGCCUGACGCAGCGACGCCGCGUGAGGGAUGACGGCCUCGGUU